GUGGGGUAACGGCCUACCAAGGCGACGACGGGUAGCUGGUCUGAGAGGACGAUCAGCCACACUGGGACUGAGACACGGCCCAGACUCCUACGGGAGGCAGCAGUAGGGAAUCUUGCGCAAUGGGCGAAAGCCUGACGCAGCAACGCCGCGUGGGGGAUGAAGGCCUUCGGGUUGUAAACUCCUUUCAGUGGGAACGAAAAUGACGGUACCCACAGAAGAAGCCCCGGCCAACUACGUGCCAGCAGCCGCGGUGAUACGUAGGGGGCGAGCGUUGUCCGGAUUUAUUGGGCGUAAAGAGCUCGUAGGCGGUUUGGUUAGUCGGGUGUGAAACCUCCAGGCUUAACCUGGAGACGCCACCCGAUACUGCCAUGACUAGAGUCCGGUAGGGGACCAUGGAAUUCCUGGUGUAGCGGUGAAAUGCGCAGAUAUCAGGAGGAACACCAGUAGCGAAGGCGGUGGUCUGGGCCGGUACUGACGCUGAGGAGCGAAAGCGUGGGGAGCGACCAGGAUUAUAUACCCUGGUAGUCCAUCCACGUACCCGUUGGGCACUUGGUGUGGGGCUC
Molecule: ribosomal RNA, 563 nt
Filed under: uncultured bacterium
Lineage: Bacteria
Description: bacterial SSU rRNA
Rfam family: Bacterial small subunit ribosomal RNA
Source: RNAcentral